AUCGGACAUUAUCUUGUCCUUACUGCCUGCUUGACACCAAGAACUCAAGGCAAGUACAGCACUUUUAUUUGUGUAAAGAGGUAGACUAAGAUAAAAACUUAGUAAAAUUAAAGCAGUUGUUGAUUUCUUUUUUCAAUCAGAAAAUGGUGAUCCGUAAACUGUUGGUGGUCUUUGCUCUGGUGACUCUAAUCAAUGCAGCACCGACACAAAACAGUGCUACACAAAAUGAAGAUCACUCCAGUCAGCAUGAUGAAGUCACUCAAGAAUUUUGGAAGCGUGUCUUUAAGAUUGCUGACCAUGUGUUAGGACAGCUUAGAAAUUCAGAAAAUGAUGAAGCAGCUCAAGAGUUUACGAAAAGUAUUAAAGACAUUAGUAAAUAUGUAUUAGAACAUGACGAAAACAUCUUGGGACACCUGGCCAAUUCAGAGAAAGAUGAAGCCACUCAAGAGUUCUGGAAACAUCUAUUAAAAAUUGGUGGACACAUCUUGGGACACCUGCUCAAUUCAGAGAAAGAUGAGGCCACUCAAGAGUUCUGGAAACAUCUAUUAAAGAUUGGCAGUCACAUCUUGGGACACCUGGCCAAUUCAGAGAAAGAUGAAGCCACUCAAGAGUUCUGGAAACAUCUAUUCAAGAUUGGCAGUCACAUCUUGGGACACCUGAUCAAUUCAGAGAAAGAUGAAGCCACUCAAGAGUUCUGGAAACAUCUAUUAAAAAUUGGUGGACACAUCUUGGGACACCUGCUCAAUUCAGAGAAAGAUGAGGCCACUCAAGAGUUCUGGAAACAUCUAUUAAAGAUUGGCAGUCACAUCUUGGGACACCUGGUCAAUUCAGAGAAAGAUGAAGCCACUCAAGAGUUCUGGAAACAUCUAUUAAAAAUUGGUGGACACAUCUUGGGACACCUGCUCAAUUCAGAGAAAGAUGAGGCCACUCAAGAGUUCUGGAAACAUCUAUUAAAGAUUGGCGGACACAUCUUGGGACACCUGCUCAAUUCAGAGAAAGAUGAAGCCACUCAAGAGUUCUGGAAACAUCUAUUCAAGAUUGGCAGUCACAUCUUGGGACACCUGGUCAAUUCAGAGAAAGAUGAAGCCACUCAAGAGUUCUGGAAACAUCUAUUCAAGAUUGGCAGUCACAUCUUGGGACACCUGGUCAAUUCAGAGAAAGAUGAAGCCACUCAAGAGUUCUGGAAACAUCUAUUAAAAAUUGGUGGACACAUCUUGGGACACCUGCUCAAUUCAGAGAAAGAUGAGGCCACUCAAGAGUUCUGGAAACAUCUAUUAAAGAUUGGCGGACACAUCUUGGGACACCUGGUCAAUUCAGAGAAAGAUGAAGCCACUCAAGAGUUCUGGAAACAUCUAUUAAAAAUUAGUGGACACAUCUUGGGACACUUGGCCAAUUCAGAGAAAGAUGAAGCCACUCAAGAGUUCUGGAAACAUCUAUUAAAGAUUGGCGGACACAUCUUGGGACACCUGCUCAAUUCAGAGAAAGAUGAAGCCACUCAAGAGUUCUGGAAACAUCUAUUCAAGAUUGGCAGUCACAUCUUGGGACACCUGGUCAAUUCAGAGAAAGAUGAAGCCACUCAAAAGUUCUGGAAACAUCCAUUAAAAAUUGGUGGACACAUGAUGUUGGAAAACCUGCUCUAUUUAGAGAAAGAUGAGGCCACUCAAGAGUUCUGGAAACAUCUAUUAAAGAUUGGCAGUCACAUCUUGGGACACCUGGCCAAUUCAGAGAAAGAUGAAGCCACUCAAGAGUUCUGGAAACAUCUAUUAAAGAUUGGCGGACACAUCUUGGGACACCUGCUCAAUUCAGAGAAAGAUGAGGCCACUCAAGAGUUCUGGAAACAUCUAUUAAAGAUUGGCAGUCACAUCUUGGGACACCUGGUCAAUUCAGAGAAAGAUGAAGCCACUCAAAAGUUCUGGAAACAUCCAUUAAAAAUUGGUGGACACAUGAUGUUGGAAAACCUGCUCUAUUCAGAGAAAGAUGAGGCCACUCAAGAGUUCUGGAAACAUCUAUUAAAGAUUGGCAGUCACAUCUUGGGACACCUGGCCAAUUCAGAGAAAGAUGAAGCCACUCAAGAGUUCUGGAAACAUCUAUUAAAGAUUGGCGGACACAUCUUGGGACACCUGCUCAAUUCAGAGAAAGAUGAAGCCACUCAACAUAAUGGAUGGCAUCACCACAUUCUUAAGCAAGGUUAAUAUGAGGAUAAGUACACAACAUCAUAGAGAUAAUCAUAACCAUCUUGGCUGUCAAGAAAAUCAUCAGCUUGCUCCUUAAUCCAAUGGUAAUAAGAUUGGUAAUUCUGAAAUGAAAAUAAAAAACAAAAUAAAAAUGCUUAUCA
Long non-coding RNA from Gouania willdenowi (blunt-snouted clingfish), 2335 nucleotides. Ensembl lists it as uncharacterized. NCBI's taxonomy places the organism in Eukaryota, Metazoa, Chordata, Actinopteri, Blenniiformes, Gobiesocidae. The record is from Ensembl.